Small nuclear RNA from Nannospalax galili (Upper Galilee mountains blind mole rat), 103 nucleotides. The record is from Ensembl. NCBI's taxonomy places the organism in Eukaryota, Metazoa, Chordata, Mammalia, Rodentia, Spalacidae.
GUGUUCCUUCUGGAGCAUAUGUACUAAAAUUGGAAUGAUAUAGAGAUCAGCAUGGCCCUUGUGCAAGGACGGCAUGCAGAUUUGUGAAGGGCCCCAUAUUUAA